Molecule: ribosomal RNA, 496 nt
Filed under: uncultured bacterium
Lineage: Bacteria
Description: partial 16S ribosomal RNA
Rfam family: Bacterial small subunit ribosomal RNA
Source: RNAcentral
AUGCACGCUGGCGGCGUGCCUAAUACAUGCCAGUCGAGCGAACAGACGAGGAGCUUGCUCCUCUGACGUUAGCGGCGGACGGGUGAGUAACACGUGGAUAACCUACCUAUAAGACUGGGAUAACUUCGGGAAACCGGAGCUAAUACCGGAUAAUAUAUUGAACCGCAUGGUUCAAUAGUGAAAGACGGUUUUGCUGUCACUUAUAGAUGGAUCCGCGCCGCAUUAGCUAGUUGGUAAGGUAACGGCUUACCAAGGCGACGAUGCGUAGCCGACCUGAGAGGGUGAUCGGCCACACUGGAACUGAGACACGGUCCAGACUCCUACGGGAGGCAGCAGUAGGGAAUCUACCGCAAUGGGCGAAAGCCUGACGGAGCAACGCCGCGUGAGUGAUGAAGGUCUUCGGAUCGUAAAACUCUGUUAUUAGGGAAGAACAAAUGUGUAAGUAACUAUGCACGUCUUGACGGUACCUAAUCAGAAAGCCACGGCUAACUACGUG